Molecule: ribosomal RNA, 415 nt
Filed under: uncultured prokaryote
Description: bacterial SSU rRNA
Rfam family: Bacterial small subunit ribosomal RNA
Source: RNAcentral
GUGUCAGCCGCCGCGGUAAGACGAAGGUGGCGAGCGUUAUUCGGAAUCACUGGGCUUAAAGGGCGCGUAGGCGGAACGGCAAGUGUCUUGUGAAAUCCCCCGGCUUAACCGGGGAAUGGCUGGGCAAACUGCCGUUCUUGAGGCAAGCAGGGGUGCGUGGAACUCUUGGUGGAGCGGUGGAAUGCGUAGAUAUCAAGAGGAACGCCGAUGGUGAAGACAGCGCACUGGGCUUGUCCUGACGCUGAGGCGCGAAAGCGUGGGGAGCAAACAGGAUUAGAUACCCUGGUAGUCCACGCCCUAAACGAUGCCUACUAGGUUGUGGAGGUUCUGACGCCUUCGCAGCCGAAGCAAAAGUGUUAAGUAGGCCGCCUGGGGAGUACGGUCGCAAGGCUAAAACUUAAAUGAAUUGACGGGG